This 424-nucleotide ribosomal RNA is filed under the name uncultured bacterium. Its description in RNAcentral is "bacterial SSU rRNA". It matches the Rfam family "Bacterial small subunit ribosomal RNA", at positions 355 to 775 of the family's 1533-position model. The record is from RNAcentral.
UGAGGAAUAUUGGUCAAUGGGCGCAAGCCUGAACCAGCCAUCCCGCGUGCAGGAAGACGGCGCUAUGCGUUGUAAACUGCUUUUCCAGGGGGAGAAACUUGCGCACGUGUUGCGCAAUUGACGGUACCCUGGGAAUAAGCAUCGGCUAACUCCGUGCCAGCAGCCGCGGUAAUACGGAGGAUGCGAGCGUUAUCCGGAUUCAUUGGGUUUAAAGGGUGCGUAGGCGGACUAUUAAGUCAGUGGUGAAAUCCUGCAGCUUAACUGCAGAGCUGCCAUUGAUACUGAUAGGCUUGAGUUUGGUUAAGGUAGGCGGAAUGUGUAAUGUAGCGGUGAAAUGCUUAGAUAUUACACAGAACACCAAUUGCGUAGGCAGCUUACUGAGCCGACACUGACGCUGAGGCACGAAAGCGUGGGGAUCGAACAG